AUUGCUAUAAAUAACUUCAAAUUCCCCCCAUUAAAAUAAAAAAAGAUUCCCCUCCCAACUCAGUGCUUACUGACAUCCACUCUCAGAUCAACAGAGUUUCUUGUCCCAGGAAGAAGAUUGGGUUUUCUCUUUUGUAAUAUUUAACCUUUUGUUUUUGGAGAUUUGGUGGGCAUGCAUGCAGCCAAAGUCAUGCCUGGGUUCAACACUACACCCCUUACGCUGGAUCUAAAUGAUUUUUGUAGUCCGAAGCCGGUUUUAAAUAAGGGUCACAAUUUUACAUUUUGAUUAGUGAUGUGAAAUGGAAUAAAUAUGGUUUAAU
This 319-nucleotide long non-coding RNA is filed under the name Gossypium raimondii (Peruvian cotton). RNAcentral describes it as "long non-coding RNA (GRAI_LNC007790)". Lineage: Eukaryota; Viridiplantae; Streptophyta; Magnoliopsida; Malvales; Malvaceae. The record is from RNAcentral.